Molecule: long non-coding RNA, 560 nt
Filed under: Mus musculus (house mouse)
Lineage: Eukaryota; Metazoa; Chordata; Mammalia; Rodentia; Muridae
Description: predicted gene, 48093
Source: RNAcentral
CAAAUCCCAGACAGAGAGCAGCCAGGGGCAGCACCUCACCCUGGACCUGUAGAGAACACAACUGCCUGUGAGGACAGCCUGUCUGGGUCUCCUGACUGCUUGUUUAUGCUGCGGAUUGCCUGAAAUUAGCACACAAGCACACGCUGCCAGCUGCAACCCAAACCAGGGACCCAGAGGACCACCAGGGUCUUUCUACACUCAGCCCCCUGUGGAGAUAAAGGCACAAAGGACUCCGGACUAGAUUUAUAUAUUACAGAAUAUACAGCCUUGGUGAAUUUCAUCAUCAGACAUGCUGAACGGACCUGCCUGAACUCCUGAUGUCUUGGGUUUUCAUCCAGAUCCAGUCAGGACACAGACAUCAGAGACAAUCAUUGGUGUGGCCUUCCUAAGGCCAAUGAAUUCCCCCAUUUUUCCCUACCUUCCCCCCUCUCUUCAAAAAUACCUCAAUGUCCAUAAUCAGCUUGAAGAAGUUAUGAAGAGUCUUUAUUCCAGUUCCCCGGGCUUUGGGGCUGGGGUGGUUAUUAUAGGUUGUCUUCGAUAGUAAAAAAUUUGAAGUACAA